RNAcentral lists this ribosomal RNA (395 nucleotides) under Metacrangonyx spinicaudatus. RNAcentral describes it as "partial 16S ribosomal RNA". Lineage: Eukaryota; Metazoa; Arthropoda; Malacostraca; Amphipoda; Metacrangonyctidae. The record is from RNAcentral.
UAGCAUAAUAAAUUGUUUUUUAAUUGGAAACUGGAAUGAAAGGUUAAACAAUUUUUAAGUUUAUAUAUUUUAAUUUAUGAAUUUUUAUUAUAAGUAAAAAUACUUAUAUUAUAUAAAGGGACGAUAAGACCCUAGAAGCUUUAGUUUAUUUAAUUGCAAAAUAGUUUUAUUUAAAAUUUGUUUGAUGUGAAACUUUGAUUGGGGAAAUAAUAAUUUUAUAAAUAAUUAUUAAUAAAAUAUAUAAGUUUUUUAAUGAUCUUUAAUAUAAGAAUGAAUAGUAUUAGUUACUCUAGGGAUAACAGCGUGAUAAUUUUGGAUAGACCUUAUAUAUAAAAUUGAUUACGACCUCGAUGUUGAAUUAAAAUAUCUUUAUAAAGUAGAAAUUAUGGAAGAAG